RNAcentral lists this small nucleolar RNA (63 nucleotides) under Ochotona princeps (American pika). Lineage: Eukaryota; Metazoa; Chordata; Mammalia; Lagomorpha; Ochotonidae. The record is from RNAcentral.
UUGUAAUGAUGUGGAUCAAGCGUCUGACCUGAAGUGACCAUGUAGACAAAUUGCACGGAUAAA